GACGAACCGUGCGAACGUUAUUCGGAAUCAUUGGGCUUAAAGGGCGCGUAGGCGGCGGCGUAAGUUCGUGGUGAAAUCCCAUCGGCUCAACCGUGGAAUCGCUUCGAAUACUGCGUCGCUCGAGUGGGAUAGGGGACCGCAGAACUGCCGGUGGAGCGGUGAAAUGUGUUGAUAUCGGCGGGAAUGCCAGUGCCGAAAGGGGCGGUCUGGACCCUCACUGACGCUGAGGCGCGAAAGCUAGGGGAGCAAACGGG
Molecule: ribosomal RNA, 254 nt
Filed under: uncultured bacterium
Lineage: Bacteria
Also listed under: 1 other name
Description: partial 16S ribosomal RNA
Rfam family: Bacterial small subunit ribosomal RNA
Source: RNAcentral